RNAcentral lists this ribosomal RNA (540 nucleotides) under Triticum aestivum (bread wheat). Its description in RNAcentral is "partial small subunit ribosomal RNA". The record is from RNAcentral. Lineage: Eukaryota; Viridiplantae; Streptophyta; Magnoliopsida; Poales; Poaceae.
AUGCGUCUGGCGCGGUGCGCAUGGUCGGGCCGACGACUGCUCGCGCGGCGGCCUCGGACUUCUCCGAUGAUGCUGUGGUGGCGGGGGCGGCCGAAUUUGGUCGGUUUCGGCCAGAUCCACGAGCAACGCGGGGCGCGGAUGCUGAGGCGCGGGCGUGGGCGGACGCGCGGGAUGGCAAGGCCGGCGCGGGGGUCUGGUGCGCGGCGGGGAUACGCGGCAGCUGCGCUUGGUCGCGGGGCGGCACGUGUGGCCACGACGGGCGGCCAGGCGUUGCCGCGCAAGGCGCGGCGAGCGCGCGCAGGGCGCGUCGCAGGCGCGGAUGGGAGGCCACGACGGGGGCUCGUGUGCAGGAAGGUCGCGGCCUGGGCGAGUGUGCGCACGGUGUUGGGCGGCGUGCUUCUGCAGCUUUGCUGGGCGGACGGCGUGGAUUUGCGGCAAGGCAAGGAUGCCGGGGCGGCGGCCCCGGAGCAAUGGUUGCAUCGGCAUGGGCUGCGGCGGCGGCUGGGGACGGUGGAUUCGGAGCGUUGUCCGCGGAUCUGA